RNAcentral lists this unclassified non-coding RNA (322 nucleotides) under Hevea brasiliensis (rubber tree). The record is from RNAcentral. Lineage: Eukaryota; Viridiplantae; Streptophyta; Magnoliopsida; Malpighiales; Euphorbiaceae.
AUAGGGUCUAACAACCCUUUAGAGAAAGAAUUGACUGAAUUGGUUGAUUCACGCUGAUUCACCCAAUUUACUACCAGAACACAAGAUUCAAUCACGAUUCAAGUACAUUUGCGAUUCACCCCAAAGAUUCGAAUCGCUGGGAUGGGAAAUCAUGUUGAAUUGAGAAUCGUACAAGUCAAACAACAGUGAUUUUGAGAAUUUGUAUUGAAUCUAAUGAUUCAAUUCUUGAUUCAUAAAAGGAGGAUUUGAUUCUCAAUUCGAAUCUUGAUUUGAUGGCUAUGGUUUGCUUGUAUUACUAUUCAUCUCCAAGAAUUUUGUUAAU